AACUAUAAACGCCUCGCUUUCUAGAAAAUCAUUCAUUCUAAAAUUAUUUUAGUUCUGUCACAUUAUCUACUGUAUAAAAUAUUAUAAUCAAAUUAAAUAAUUUAGUUUUAUUAUAUCUUAUGCAUAUAUAGUAUUAUUUUAAAUUCUAGAGUGUCUCACGUUUUCGUAAAGCUCAAACGCACACUUACAAAAACCAAACGAGUCUUACUAAUCUUAACCAUUCUUAUUGGGUCAUCCGUCUUAACCAUUCUUAUUGGGUCGUCUGUAGUAUUAUUCUGAUUUAGCCGAAACUUAUCUCACGUUUUUCGCCCAGUACUUGACUCUGUUGUCAACUGUGAUCCCCCGCUUCGAUUCAUGGCUGUCGAAUCGUCGGCGCUAACCAUUAAUGCCAAUAACUCGAGCUGCUAAACAUACGCAACUAAUUCACUUAAAGCGUACUGAUAUAGCACCUACAAGUUUCGAUUGUGACUCACUCCAACCCGCCUUAAGCCAUUUCGAAUAUGAUUCGGUCCAAAACCCAACCUCAUGUCAUUUCAAACGUGAAGUUGACCCAAUCUAGUCUCCCACUAUAUGACAGAAUCUGGUACUUUUAAGUCAAUCCCAACCUCAUGGGUGUAAACACCAUUCAAAAUACUAUAACCGGAUUAAGAGAUGUAUUAUAUCUCAUUUCCAAAUUCUAGAAAUGACACAAAAAAUUUUCAAAUGUAAAAUUAAUUUACUUUCUGUUUAUUUCAAAAAUUAUAUUCAGUUCUUAAAUUAAAGAAAAAUAAUUUAUUUUUGAAAAAAAAAAUACUAAUCAAUCU
RNAcentral lists this long non-coding RNA (803 nucleotides) under Ananas comosus (pineapple). Its description in RNAcentral is "long non-coding RNA (ACOM_LNC023595)". The record is from RNAcentral. Lineage: Eukaryota; Viridiplantae; Streptophyta; Magnoliopsida; Poales; Bromeliaceae.